Molecule: small nucleolar RNA, 124 nt
Organism: Vitis vinifera (wine grape)
Lineage: Eukaryota; Viridiplantae; Streptophyta; Magnoliopsida; Vitales; Vitaceae
Rfam family: Small nucleolar RNA snoR74
Source: Rfam
GAAAAAACAUAUUUCUGUUACCUUUGUGAAUGGGAUUAUUGUAAACUUGGGGGAAAUCCUCACAUUCUUCGUGGCUGAACCUGUUUUCUUGGUGGUUGAAGAUUCAGCAAAUGAUGCUAAAUUU